UACAGAGACUGCAAGCGUUAUUCGGAUUCACUGGGCGUAAAGGGUGCGCAGGCGGCCGUGUGUGUCAGGUGUGAAAGCCCGGGGCUUAACCCCGGAAUUGCGCCUGAAACUACAUGGCUAGAGCAUUGGAGAGGGUAGCGGAAUUCACGGUGUAGCAGUGAAAUGCGCAGAUAUCGUGAGGAACACCAGAGGCGAAGGCGGCUACCUGGACAAUUGCUGACGCUCAGGCACGAAAGCGUGGGGAGCAAAAGGG
RNAcentral lists this ribosomal RNA (253 nucleotides) under uncultured bacterium. Its description in RNAcentral is "partial 16S ribosomal RNA". It matches the Rfam family "Bacterial small subunit ribosomal RNA", at positions 524 to 776 of the family's 1533-position model. The record is from RNAcentral.